UACGUAGGGACCGAGCGUUGUCCGGAAUCAUUGGGCGUAAAGAGCGUGUAGGCGGCCACUUAAGUCCUGCGUGAAAUCCUGCGGCUCAACCGCAGGCGGUCGUGGGAAACUGGGUGGCUAGAGUGCGGGAGAGGAGAGUGGAAUUCCUGGUGUAGCGGUGGAAUGCGCAGAUAUCAGGAAGAACACCCGUGGCGAAGGCGGCUCUCUGGAACGCAACUGACGCUGAGACGCGAAAGCGUGGGAGCAAACAGG
This 252-nucleotide ribosomal RNA is filed under the name uncultured bacterium. RNAcentral describes it as "partial 16S ribosomal RNA". It matches the Rfam family "Bacterial small subunit ribosomal RNA", at positions 524 to 776 of the family's 1533-position model. The record is from RNAcentral.